Non-coding RNA from Triticum aestivum (bread wheat), 125 nucleotides. The record is from Rfam. Lineage: Eukaryota; Viridiplantae; Streptophyta; Magnoliopsida; Poales; Poaceae.
AAUAUACUCCUUCCGUCCGAAAAUACUUGUUCGAUGAAUGGAUGUAUCUAGAUGUAUUUUAGUUCUAAGUACAUCUAUUUGUAUCCAUUUCUACGAUAAGUAUUUCCGGACGGAGGGAGUAGUAC